Drosophila yakuba is the source of this 8714-nucleotide long non-coding RNA. RefSeq lists it as uncharacterized. The record is from RefSeq and is a predicted model, not a curated record. The transcript has 5 exons. NCBI's taxonomy places the organism in Eukaryota, Metazoa, Arthropoda, Insecta, Diptera, Drosophilidae.
GCUGUCAGCAGCAGCAGCGCGACGGCGGCGGCGGCGGCAGCAGCGGCGCGGCAGAGGCCUCAUUGUCUUGGCACCGAGAUUUGUUGCUCGGAAAAGCAAACCACUCAACACUUAAACACACUCUUCAACCAUUUCCAUUUCCAUCGCCUCGCUUCGCUCGUUUUAAUGUCAUAUAAAAAUUAAUUUGUUUGUCGCUCUCCCGCUCUCGCACGCCACCCUUCUCCCUCUGACCCACUCGCUCGCACAGCUGUUGUUGUGGCCUUUGUUUAGCGUUUUUCGAUUAACUUCUGCGGUUGGUUUUCCCUCUUUUUUUUUCUGUGGCUCCUGUUUUGCUGUUUAAGUGGAAAUCGUUGUUUUGUUGUCGCGUCGAAAAGUUUUUCCAAGCAAUUUUUCCUCCUUACUUGGUGUGUGUGUGUGCGUGUGUGUAAUUAAUCUGCACAUAUCAAACAAGCGAAUGUGUGUUGUGGCAUGUUGCACUCAGAGAGUUGGUAAUAGUUUAAUGGUUUGGUUAACUCCGCUGCAUUUUUAAUCGCUCUGCAAUUGGAUUGAAUUUUCCAGUUAGCACUUGCCUAGCUUAUUUAUUUGCGAUCCGCACGAACCUUCGUUAAUAGUUAAUUCGUUAUUCGCGCUGCUUGGUUUUUAGAUAAUUAAUGCGUCUUUAAUUGCAUACGAAGCGGAGUUAUAAUUUAAUUAUUUUGUUCUAUUAUCAGGCAAGCCCUAUUAAACAUAAUAUGUAUUACUAUUUAAGUAGUAAGAAAUUAUUAUUCCUCUAAUCACUAAGAUUAGUUUGAUUUUGAUCUUUCUGCUCUCUUUACCUAAUCGAUAUUAAAAUACCUAUGCAAUCCGAACCAAAUCUGGUGGUUUUACCACAAAACUAUGCAUCAAGAUGUUUAACUGAAGUCCCAAAGGGGAUUUUUGAAUAUCUGACCGCUGAGAGAUGUUACCUAAUCAUCAGGCUGAGUUUUAAGAACCCUUCAAAGCCCCUGGCAAGUAAAUUAAAAUCUGUGUAAAUAUGGGCUAUAAGCCGAAAACCCAGAAGCAACACUUUUAAUCCCGAUUUAGAGUGUUUAAAUGUUUUUCGGUGGGAUUUCCUAAGCCGAAACCCGGCAGCAAAAUACCUUCUAGGGUAAAACAGGUAGAGGAAAAACUCUUGGCCUUCGGCGAACUGAUGGAUUUAUUAGUUAAGAGCGUGCUGCGAUACUUUACGAUACGGCUUAGACAUAAUUUGCGGUUUUGCGUGCAACAAAGCGAAAAAAGUGUUGCCAAAAUAAUGUAUAUAUAUGAAUAUAUGCAUAUAUAUGUAUAUGUAUAUAUACUGGUAGAGAGUUGGAGAGUUUACGCACACGUUCCACAGCAUUUUCCCUUAUUAUUUGUUAUUUUUUAUGGCCACUUUGUCAGCGUCAUAAAUUCGCUGCUCCUGUAUGUGAAUUAUUUACUAGCAAAUUGCGGGAGCGGGCCGAUGGUAAGUGCAAGCCGGUGGUCGGUGGUCGGGGGUGUCAUAUAAAUAAUACAAAAAUAUUAUAAAUUACACGAAGACGAAGAAAUUGCCAAGCGGAAGUGCGGAACACCUUGAUACCGUGACUAAAGCGAUUUGCUUUCAGAGUACUGCUCACCCUGCAGCAUUUCAGCGUUGAUAACUUUAUUUUAUGCCUGCAGAGGUCUUGAUGCUAUGAUUACGAAAAAAAACCUUUCUUUAAAUUAUAUUAAGUUAUAUAAAUAAGUUAAUUUUGCAGCUGUAUGUAUGUAUGCAUGUAUGUAUGAAUGUAUGCUUCCAAUGAAACAGUUGGUAAACUAACAACAGAGCCCUUUGAAAAUCAGAAUGCUAGGUUUUUAUUACUAUACAUGACUAUAAUGAGAAGUUCCGAAUUCGAAUACUCUCGAUAUCUUUGCAGAAGUCGUAAAGGAAAGCGCCGAGAGAUAUCCAAAUGUAGUGGGAGAAAUUUGUAGCCGCGAAAACAUUUAUAUGAGGAAAAUAAAAAGGAAGUAUACUGGAUGCCACAACAACCAGAACAGCAACAAGAACAACAAACGGCGGAACGGCAGAGGCAGCACAUAAAAUUAACCACAUAUUUCUUCAUUUUUAUGGCAUUUAUUAUCACAGAAAUGUUUGUGUGAUAAAAGCGAAGCAGCGCAAAAGGCGAACGACGAUGAACGACGACGAUGGCGGCGCAGUCAUAAAAAUGCAGCCAUUUACCUUUUGAUUUAUGCACACCAGUGGGUGGUGGGUGGUGUGUGUUGGGUGUUGGGUGGAUGGGUGGUUUGCCUGCGGCCAGAGUGGGUGGCACGCAUGCAGAGCAACUGGCGAGCAAAAAGGAGCGAAAAAUAAUGCAAUAAAUUUGACAUUAUCUCCGGCAAUAUGAAGGUAUAUAUAUCCGUGAAGUGGUUCCACACUGGUGAGGGAAAGUCGUUUAACUGUCUGCGGAUUUUCAGUUGACUUACGCACAAAGAAGAAACCCCAACCGACCCACGAUAAUUGCUUUAUUUUGCCUGCUGCAUAUCCAUUCGCGCAGUCUUAAAAAAGCUAUCUUGGAAGACAUAUUUUUCCCUGAUUGGGGUGGGAAUAUAUGAAAUUUAAUGCCACAAACUUAAUUACUCUGAAGAUUUCUGCUUCAUCUCGGCGCUAUUUAUCUAAACUGGCAGUUCAAAGGCCUUUGACUUUGCUUUCAUACUAUUUGCUUUUAGUUUACUUGAUACAAAUAUCAGGCUUGUUCAUAAGUGAUUUCCCAAUUUUUUACGCUUGAUAAGCCAUUCUGCUAUUUUCCCUCAUAUGGCUUAUGUUUCACCAUAAUUACUUCCGAUUUGAAUGCGUCUACGUGCCGUGCAGCUAGACAAUAACUCACUUCGCAACGCGGAAGGGCGAAAGUGCCAUUUAAAAAAUUGAAAAACAAACUGCAAUAAAUUCAAUAGAACCGUAUGAAAGCGAACUAAGCAGGCACACAGAGCGACGGAUCCGUAAAAAAUGUAUCCCGGACUCUGUGAAGGGGAAGCGGAUGCAGAGCGUGUCCCGCUGCGAAUCGAGCUGAAUCCGAAACCCAGCUGAAGUCCGAGCUCCGCCUGCUGCCUGUCGAUAAUUUAUCGACGGCGAUUUAUCUCGUAAUAGUUGCCCAAAAAGGAAGAAGAAUAAUGGUGACAUUGAAAUUUUACGGUAAUGCACCAAAAAAGGGGAUUCUUUUUGCCAACUGCGGGUUGUGUUUGCAACACCCCCUGUGUGUGGCAUCGCUUGCUGGAUUAAUACUGCAAAUUAAUCGUUGCCAAUGCUCCCCUCAAAAAAGAUUGGAACAAUGGACACACACACACACCAAAAAAAAAAAAGAAAAAAGUGGAAAUACCUACGAGUUGACACGUGCAGGAUUCUAAAAUGAUAAAUUGAUGGCAUCGAUUUUUAUUGCCAUUUCGGGUAUUAAGUAUUAAUUGCCUACAACAUCCGAUCUGACGGAUUUGGGUCCAGGGGCGGAGAUUCCUGUUGAUAUACGGCGGUUAUUGAUAAAGGUUUAAGCUAGGAAAUAAAUCACGUGAAUUGUAUUUAUGAGAACGAAAUAAUGAGCUGUACUGAAUCGCAAGGAAUAUAGAUUUCAAGGGGUUUAUAGAUAGAGGAAGUACGUUCUAAUGUAAAAAUCAUGCUUCUAUACACAAAUAGUCUUCAAUUUAGGAUUUUAGGAAACAUCCAUGUAGUUCCAAAGAUUUACUCGUAGCACCAUCUGCUAGGUACAGAAUUAAAUGUACUUGGCAUGAAUCGGUGAGUUCGGACCAUUUUUCCAAAUUAAACUGCAGGCAGGUCUCUAAUUCCCGCAAAGGAAAAUGGCAAUCCGGAGUGGAACUGUCACGGCCAAAUAAAUGACGCGUGACUGUCGCAUCUGCGAAGGAAUCGAUAGGAAGGUAGAAGAACAGGAGGAGUACGAUGGUCCAACUGUCAGACGCAGCUUGAUGCAGAAAAUCACCACGAACAAAGGACACUCCGAAUGUCGAUGCCAAUGCCAAUUCCAAUGCCAAGGACGAGACGAAGGCCGAGCUCGGAACGCACUUUGAUAAAUGCGUCAUAAAAUGAGCAAUUAUCACGUGCGUCCAGCGCAGCUGAGCGACAAUUAAAAACCAAACACAGACGGCGAGGAACAGAGCAUCAAUAAAAUUAUUUGUCAAAAUGUCAGGAUGCACGCAACGGGAGGGAGGGGACGUCGAAGGACGCAGGACGCAGGACGACGACAUCGAGGGGAGUGACUGGAUGACAAUGGCAGGACAGGCUGCGGGAUAUACGCAGAAGUGUCAACUUUGGUGGCUGGCAAUGAAUGACGAACCAUAAAUCAAGGACAAUGGCCUGCCUGCCGCGAUCGUCCUUAACUCAGCCUGGGCAAGUCCUCGGAUGUCCUUGAUUGACCGCACUCCUCGGCCGUCUUUGCCGGAGCUGAAAAAUUAGCGAGUAAAUCAAUAAACAUGGCCAGACUCUCGCCGGCUCGUUAAACUGCGUCGUUCCUUCGGAGACCAUAAAAAUUCAGCGUUGUCGAUAGAUUUCCCAUGAUAUAUAGGGCCAUAAUUUACGUUCUCUUUAUCAAGGCGAGCACACAUGGGCGGGAAGGCGGCAGGACGGCAGGCCGGCAGGACGAGUUGGCCAGGGGAAACACCUUAUGGAUGGCUAUAUCCUGUGCUCGCCAGGAAGCGCCAGUCGUUGUAGCCGUAGUCGCAUUGGGACCUGGCUCAGUUGUUGUGCUCCAGCUCUGCUCUGAUUGAAUCGGGAAGGUCAUAAAGAUUUUUAUGUUUGGCCAUAAAUAUUUUGUUUGUUGUUCUGCUGAUGCUCGCUGGGUACUGGGUGCUGGGUGCCUGUGCAAAUGUUUUCCUCUGCUCGUUCUGUUCGAUUAUGAUAUAUGGAAUGGCAAGCGUUGUGAAUAUUUUUAGAGAACCCGUAAGUAACACAAAGAGCAUGGCUUAUGAUGCAUUGAUUUAUAAUAGAUCUGUAUGAGCCAAGGUACAGAAAAAGGGGAAAAAUAUGAUUAAUAUGAAUAAGGUUUUGAGUGUUUAACAAGCUACGAUACUUGCUCAUAUGCUUUUUAUUGCUUCCAAUAGUAGAGCUUCCACAGACUAUGGCGACUUAUUUGAAUGCUGAGGGUAUUGAAAUAAUUGCGAUGCUCAACGCUACGCUCGAUUUCAAAGCGACUGUAUUUACAUAAAUUCAGAAUCGACGCACAAGAACCACCAAAGUCGGCACUUUUGUGUGUUCUGUUCGCUUCGCUGAGAAAGACGGGCUGACAGCGAAAUUCACACCUCAUUUGAGGCACCUCACGCUCCAAACUCGAGAAGAGACCCAUGCCCAAAGCCCAGAGCCGAUAAAAACCCAAGCCCGGAGGGAAACCCAGGCAAGCCGAGACGAGUGCUAAUGUUGCGCAUAAUAAUUUUGUACUAAAUUAAAUAGUGUGUGGGUCGACAACGUCUGUCGGUGGUUUUUACAUUUCUACAUGCAUAUACAUAUAUAUAUCUGUGUGCUUCGGAUGGAUCUUUCUGGUCGGGCUGUGACUUCACGUCUGGCCAACAUGUUGCUGGUGCAGCGUUUUGUUCUUUUUCCGCCGCCACUUGAGCCGCAAAAGGAUAUAAUUUAGUUUUUAUUGCGCAAGGGUUUUGCCUCACUUUUCCCGUAUAACUCUUCACGUUCGGAGGAUUCAUCAGCUAUGCAUGGCGUGUUUGUUCUUACUCGUACAAGGGUCCUUUACGACUGUCGGGCAUUUUGUUGGACCUGUUAUUUGUUAUUGCUGCUCAGUCGUCGCUUCCUUUGAGCUGACUACUCAUUCGCAUUUCGCUCGCAUCUCUCCGAUUUCAGUGCUACUUUAUUGAUGGACCUGCGUAUCGUCACGAGGUUGCAUAAACUCGAAAGUAGCACUCUUUAUUGUCUUUGGAAUCUGGCGGCUCUUUUAAGGAAGUUUUAAAAUCGAUAUAUCUUUCGUCUUUAAACAUUAUGUUUAUGGGAUGGGCCAAUAGAAUUGAUUUUUUAAAAUGCCAGAUUAUUGUUUUUUUAAAUACACCCUCUUAACCGCCUAAAGUAAACUCACAACUUACUUUUAAUUGGCGCCCCACACUCAAAAUAUAUUUACCGUGCCCAUUGAUUUGAAUGUAAUCGUCUUUUGAGCAGGCCAUCACAUAAAACCCUUUUUUGUACCGAAAGGAUUUUCACCCCGUCCCGAAUACAGAUACUCAUUCUCGGCUGCUCAGCAUUACUUCUGCUUACUUUGGCAAUCUAUGCGAACAGAAGCGACCAGGGGCAAGCUACCCAAGUGAGACAUUUGCUUGUGGGCCAAAGUGAAAGCAUCUCGUUUUCAUUUCAUUUAAAAUGCUGUCAGCACCUAACCCCAGACCCGACUUCCCCCACCAUCUGCCUCCGAGACCCGGCGACGUCUUCAUGUCCUUUUUUAUGGCACUUUCAACGCGUCAUUGAGUAAGCCGCGGCGCGCACUCAUCAGCAUCAACAUCAGCAUCAGCAUCAGUGGAAGCGGAAUGGACUUGGAGUGUGUUUGCAAGUGGGUGAGUGGAAUGAAAGUGCUGCCCCAUCCCCAACCUCAGCCGCAGAGCAUUCGAGCUGAAAAUGAAGACGUUUGGAAUGGCGGCAAGGUGGAAUCCGCAGAUAGCCAUCGGCACUCUUAGAUACCCAUCAGCAGUGCAUGCUUUUAUUUGUAAUGAUAAUGGACAGCCAUAUAGGAGAUGACAUAUUUCAAUUUAAAGGGUAUAUUUCUACUGUUUUCAAAUCAACUUGUUUAUUGGAACUAAAGCUAGAAAUGCAGACAAUAUCGCAAUAUCAUUAUUAUAUUACUAAACAAAGCCCUAAUGUAUUUUUAAAAAUAUGUGUAUUUAAAAUAUCAAGUUUUUCAUUAUUCUUUUGUAUUCUUUCUGUCUGCACAUCUUAGUAUUUAACCUAAUAUGUCAGUUCACAAAGCUACCCCCAGUAGAGGGUAUCAAAGGACCCGGAGUGCUCGAUUGAGAGCACACCGAGAACAGGCCGGACUACUUCCUCGUGCGAUAGAGUGCGUUCAUAAUCAAAUUAGAAGCGAAGCGUAAGAUCAAAGGCUAGACGCGGACGACGCUCAUUUAACUGAGGGCGCAAGGCGGAAAAAGUAGGCGCGACAUAAUGCCCGAAAUGUCCAAAACACACAUGCACACUGCGAGAAAAGGGUGUGGGGUUCUUAGAGGGUGCGGUGAGAGGGCCAGGUACCACGAUGCGCCACAAAAGAUGACGAGGGGUCUUGUCCAUAGUCUUUGACAAGCUGGAGUGGAAAUGACUGCGCACCCGGACCAAAGGAACCCCCGAUCCGGACCAGAAUCGGACCAGAAUCGGCGCUGCGCCUGAAGAAGACGUCUCAUUAAUGACAACAAGGAGCCCGUGCAGAAGAAAAAGCUUGCCUCCGAUUCCUCGAAAGGAUCCGCAGCCGUGGCGUUGGGCAUCUCAUCGCAUCGCAUCGCAUGGCAUCGCAUCGCUCUCGAAUAAUUGAAAAAGUGGAUAGACAGAGGAAAACCAAAUCCCCGGCCCUGGAUGCGGAAUGAUUUUCAUGUUGAAUCACUGACGACGACAGGUUAAAUGUUUUCAUUAUGAGUUCAGUUGAUUCGAGUCGAGUCGAGUUGAGCCGCGGGCUGACGUCAGUUUCGCCCCAUAAUUGGAGCUGCACUCAAGUGCCCUCCACCUCGGGCUCCUCAAUCCUUGACAGCGUCAGCCAUCCUCGCUCGCCCUAAUGAAAAACCCUUUUGUUCGCAUCCCCCCCUCGCCGCUCUUCCCGGUCACUGGAAAUGCAAUUUUAUAUCUUCAAAUGCCCUACAGAAGCUGGAUGUACUGCAGCCUUAUAAGCGUUCGUGGCCAUAUUUUGCACAAUUUGAACUGUUUGCCGUUGACAUUAGCAGAAGCUUAGUCCCCGCUGUCUCAGGGCUGUCAGAAGAGUCCUGUCGGUGUUGCCACGUCUCGGGCAGAAAACAAUUCCUGACAACGGCGAUGACUUCUGGGACGAAAAGCAGCAGUUGGGAGAGAAGUGGAAAUGAAAUCUGAAAUAUUGUUCUGUAAAUGCGUGCCGUGUGAAGAUCAGGCUCCUUCCGCUGCGAAAAUGCAAAUGGCAUCAACUGGUAAACUGGUCCACCGGCCACCGGUCACCAGUCACUGGUCUUCGGUCACUGGUCUCUGGUCUCUGGUCAGUCAACAUUUCACAGCAAAUUAACACCACAAAUCUGUGAUGUGCUGCGAUGGCCAUUCCCAUCAUCCCAUCAACCAACCACCCAAAUCGUUAGAGCCGCAGAACAGACUGAAUGAGACCCAAAACUCCAUGGCUGACAGCUUAACUGACCAUUAAUUUACAUUUAAAUGGAAAAUGGCUGAGGUGAGGAAACCGAGUGAGUAGUGGCGUACCUAAGCACAGAUUUCUCAUCUCGAGACUUUUCUCACACACUCACUAGCCGUACAAUUUUUGGGAUAAAAAUUACGAGGAGGUGGAGUGCAGGGAAAACGGGGGAAAUUUGCAUAUUUCCAACAUAUUUUUCUGCAGAUUGUGGAACAAAUUUAUACUUUACGAGCAGGAACGAACCAUUUUACAGUUGAUUUACUUUCUACGCUUCACCAAGAAUAUACGUAUGAAAAAUAUAGAGAAAUAUCAGAGAAAAAUUCUCAAAAAUUGGGUAAUUUUAAAAAAUGAAAUAAAUAUCGAGUUAUUUUAUGUUGUUCAGUGAGAAUUUGAGGAAAUAAUAAUGAAGAGACUCUUAGA